RNAcentral lists this ribosomal RNA (338 nucleotides) under Theileria annulata. RNAcentral's name for it is "SSU rRNA". It matches the Rfam family "Eukaryotic small subunit ribosomal RNA", at positions 468 to 846 of the family's 1831-position model. The record is from RNAcentral. Lineage: Eukaryota; Apicomplexa; Aconoidasida; Piroplasmida; Theileriidae.
UGACAAGAAAUAACAAUACGGGGCUUAAAGUCUUGUAAUUGGAAUGAUGGGAAUUUAAACCUCUUCCAGAGUAUCAAUUGGAGGGCAAGUCUGGUGCCAGCAGCCGCGGUAAUUCCAGCUCCAAUAGCGUAUAUUAAAAUUGUUGCAGUUAAAAAGCUCGUAGUUGAAUUUCUGCUGCAUUGCUUGUGUCCCUCUGGGGUCUGUGCAUGUGGCUUUUUUCGGACGGAGUUUCUUUGUCUGAAUGUUUACUUUGAGAAAAUUAGAGUGCUCAAAGCAGGCUUUCGCCUUGAAUAGUUUAGCAUGGAAUAAUAAAGUAGGACUUUGGUUCUAUUUUGUUG